This 241-nucleotide ribosomal RNA is filed under the name uncultured bacterium. RNAcentral describes it as "partial 16S ribosomal RNA". It matches the Rfam family "Bacterial small subunit ribosomal RNA", at positions 524 to 764 of the family's 1533-position model. The record is from RNAcentral.
UACGUAGGGUGCGAGCGUUGUCCGGAAUUAUUGGGCGUAAAGAGCUCGUAGGCGGUUUGUCGCGUCUGCUGUGAAAUCCCGAGGCUCAACCUCGGGUCUGCAGUGGGUACGGGCAGACUAGAGUGUGGUAGGGGAGACUGGAAUUCCUGGUGUAGCGGUGAAAUGCGCAGAUAUCAGGAGGAACACCGAUGGCGAAGGCAGGUCUCUGGGCCACUACUGACGCUGAGAAGCGAAAGCAUGG